AAAGGAAGUAUUUUGCCUUAGACAGGUAGGAGGUUGGCUUAGAAGCAGCCACCCUUUAAAGAGUGCGUAAUAGCUCACUACUCGACGUUGUCGCAAGAUGACGAGGCAAGAUGCGCCGAAAAUGUAACGGGGCUAAGCAUAAUACCGAAAUUGUGAGUGCGCACAGCGCGCGCGGUAGGAGAGCAUUUUCAAUGCAGUGAAGGUACACUGUGAAGUGUACUGGAGCGUUGAGAAGGGAGAAUGUUGGGAUGAGUAACCGCAAGAUCGGUGAAAGACCGAUCCGCCGAAAGCCUGAGGUUUCCUCCGCGAUGGUAAUCAUCGGAGGGUUAGGCGUUCCUAAGGAUAACCGUACUUUAGGGUAUGGGAAGCCGAUGGACAGCCGGUUAAUAUUCCGGCCCCGCUUGCACAUUUUAGGGAAUAACGGGUGAUAUAAGAUCGAGCGCAUUAUUGGAUUUGACGUCUUUGCUCCUAGAGCAGUGAUUAGGUAAAUCCGGUCACAGCCGCAAGGCAUGUUCGAAAGCAAAAGAAAUCCGUCGUGAGACGGAAAUUCGAUCGAAGAGUGCUCCAAGAAAAGUUUCUAAAUUUAAUGUGUAAGCGUACGUACCGCAAAACCGACACAGGUAGGCUGGUAUAAGUGUACCGAGGCGAACGGGUGAUUAUUGGCUAAGGAACUCGGCAAAAAAGCGGCCGUAAGUUCGCGAUAAGGCCUGCCCAGACUAAUCUCUGGGCCGCAGCUAAAGAACCCCUGGCGACUGUUUAUCAAAAACACAACUCUGUGCAAAGCCGAAAGGCAACGUAUACAGGGUGACGCUUGUCCGGUGCCGGUACGUUAACGGUGAAGGUGGUGUGCAGCAAUGUACAUUGCUAACGCCCGAAGCGCCGGUGAACGACGGCGAUAACUAUAAUCGUCCAAAGGUAGGAAAUUAAGCGAAAUUCCUUGUGGGGUAAGUUCCCACGCGCAUGAAUAGCGGAACGACUGGGGGACUGUCUCAGCCAAUAGCCCGGUGAAAAUGCAAUGUCUGUAAAGAUGCAGACUACCCGCACCAAGACGGAAAGACCCCGGAAGCUUCACUGCAGUUUGGUAUUGGUCUACGAGUUGUUAUACGUAGCGUAGUGAGUAGGAUUUGAAGUCACGUUUUCGGAUGUGAUGGAUCCGCCAAUGAAACACUCAUUUUAACGAUUUGUAGCUCUAACCGGCCCCGCCCUCUAGGCUUAUGACAUGAGGGACUGUAAAGUUUCCAAGUAAUAUUGGAGUUUUAUCGUUCCACAAAUUUGUCACAGGCAUAGAGGGCUGGGUCGAGACAGUGCCUGACGGGCAGUUUAAGUGGGGCACUUGCCUCCUAAAAAGUAAUGGAGGCGUUCAUCAAGGUUGGCUAGCUGCGGAUGGAAAUCGCAGCGAUAGCGUAAAGGCAAAAGCCAGCUUAACUGCAAGGCGGAUGUGCCGCGCAGGUGCGAAAGCAUGACUUAGUGAACCGACUCUAAAAGAGAAAUUUGAACAGUAAAAUUUGCUGUUCAAAUUUCUUCGCUCGUAGGAGCGGAGAAGAUCAUCAAAUAAAAGCUACUCCGGGGAUAACAGGCUGGUACCACCCGAGCGUUCAUAGCGACGGUGGUGUUCGGCACCUCGAUGUCGGCUCGCCCUAUCCUGGGACUGAAGAAGGCCCCAAGGGUUUGGCUGUUCGCCAAUUAAAAGGGUACGUGAGACAGGUUGGUCCAUAUCUGGUGCGGGCGUUGAUACUUGAGGAGGGUUGGUCUUAGUACGAGAGGACCGGACUGAACGAACCUCUGGUGUACGAGCUGUUCUGCCAAGAGCAGCGCUCGGUAGCUAUGUUCGGUUCUGAUAAGCGCUGAAAGCAUAUAAGCGCGAAGCAGGCUCCAAGAUUAAGUAUCUAGGGCUCUCCAAUAUAGUAACUUUCGUAACGAAAUUGACAGAUUGGGGAGCCCGAUGAAUCGUUGUAGAUGACGACGUUGAUAGGGCUCAGGUGUAAGCAUAGUAAUGUGUUCAGCCGAGAGCUACUAAUAAUUCA
RNAcentral lists this ribosomal RNA (2024 nucleotides) under Candidatus Yanofskybacteria bacterium GW2011_GWA2_44_9. RNAcentral describes it as "partial 23S ribosomal RNA". It matches the Rfam family "Bacterial large subunit ribosomal RNA", at positions 1068 to 2911 of the family's 2925-position model. Lineage: Bacteria; Candidatus Yanofskyibacteriota. The record is from RNAcentral.